GUGGAGGCUCCAGCUGCUUGAUGGGAGUUGGGAGAUGGGCCUGGUCCCACCUGGAGUUGCCAACGGUUAUUUAAAAGAACAGUGGGCUAGUGGCCAAGGAGGAUCCUUCACUGUUGGUGGUCUUGAGGAACAUAAGGCUGCCAAGUAGGUGAAGCUAAGCAGGAGUGGGACCUCGCUGGUUUUCCAUUUGGGGGCUAACAAAACAUGGGCUGCAGUAGUGGUAUACAUAAAUAAACUUUUUUGACACCUGGGAAUUUCAGUCACAUGGGCUCCAUCCUUGAGCCCUGCCCACAACCCCUGUUCACGUAGCUGUAUGUGUGCAUCACACAAUCCACACCCGAUUGAGAACCUCGUAAAAGUUAAUCGAAUGCACUCUGGAUAACUGAACAGAAUUGUGGGAGAUUGUUCCCCUGAAAAAGUGGCAAAACUCUUCCUCCUCUUCCCCUCCUGUGCUUCUUGCUGUUGCCUGUCCAACAAUAUUCUGACUUGAUUCUCUGAAGGGAAGGGAAAAUGAUUUGGUUAAGUGACGGGUCUGCUCCGGGGAAAUGCAAAUUGACAAGAGAUGCAGCCAGAUUUGCUCCUAAGGCUGUGUUUUCACUUAGACAACCAUCAGAAACCUUCCUGGUCUCCAGAAGAAACAAAUUGCUUUGAUCUUAAAUGCGCCAAAUACCAUUAGGGUUCUCCCCACUUGCUUAGGAGUUAAUCUCACCAGAUAAAGGAGAGCCAGCUCCUUUAGGCAAAGUACAGCUCCAGACUCCAUUUUAAGCCCUACAAAAUUAAUAUAUUGCUGGUAGCUUUGUAUUUUCAUUUACGUUGCCUGCACAGUGGCUUUCCGAAAUUGGAUAUUAAUGAUUUACGCUGUAAUUUAUGUAUGUCCAUAAAGCAGAGCUGGAGUAACAUUUGAGGAAUCAAAAUCUUACUCUUGGGCAUUUCCAGGGCAAUGUAUCUAACCAUUAACCCUUUCUGAAAUUGCUCAAGGGGGUCAUUUCCAAUUCACAUUUAUGAAUAAAGCAAAUGCUCAUUAGCUUGUCCUUCAUUCUGUUCCAGAUUUCUUAAGGGGAGGGGGGAAAAACAUGCCACGCAGCAAGUUUUCUCCUUGAAAGUUCAAUAUCCACCAGAGCUAUUUACAAUAUAGUGGUUUUUAAAAUUACCCAGCACUCAUUGGGCAACCCUCUACAUUUCACUCAACAUGGGACCGCUGCUGAAAACAACAUCCAUGCGACAUGUCCCAUCCCAAACCCAUGGAACAUAGGAUCUGCUAACCUCCAUUAUAAUAUUGUCAUGUUGUGCAUUCCCUGCUCCCAAAUCAUAUCACUGAUGGAGGUUGGAAGAGGCAGGGAAUUGUGCGAUUCAACCAAAAUAGCAAAUGGGCUAAAAAUGAGCCUAUGAAUUUGGACAUUGUAAUGGUUCUAGGGGUUGCUCGUGCAUAAGCCGGUGCUGAUCUCCCCGGCUGGGUGCAAACACCUGGCUGGGUUGCCAAAGUGAACCUUUUCUGUCCGGACAGCCACUCACCCGUGGCUGACUCAAUCGCUGGCAGAAUCCGUCAGUGGGCGUUUCUUAAACUUCUUCCAGCAAAGAAGCUUUUUGACGCCUAGUCUCCUCCUACUCUCUCUGCGUGAAAGCCUUCUGCACAAGGAGGACGUGGGCAAUGGAGGACCCCUACUCUCCCCGCUGGUCCCAGGCAAGGAGUCAUGGGACCGCCUCGCCACUUCCCCCAUCUGCCCCCCUUCUCCACUGGUGCUACGCUGAUUCUCUUCCCCAGAAGAUGGGCUGCUUCUCCCGAUCCCUGGACGCUCUCUGGAAUCCCUCUGGCUUUUGCUCUCUCCCUCCGGCACUGAUGGCAGUUCCCUGACAGACAUGUAUAUUGCUAAAGGGUUUCUGGGAAAUGAUAUAUAAUGAACAAAAGAAGAUCUUUAAAAAUACAUUUGUUUAAAAAACCAGAAGCCUUUUUGGUAGGUAUAACAGGUGAAGAGUUACCAAGAGAAGAUAAAAUACUUUUUUAUGCACGCAGCAACAGCAGCGAGAAUGGUACUAGCCCAGAGAUGUCCGAAAAGAGAAGUACCAGAAAAAGAAGAAUGGCAGGU
Non-coding RNA from Podarcis lilfordi (Lilford's wall lizard), 2084 nucleotides. The record is from the annotation of a GenBank genome assembly. Lineage: Eukaryota; Metazoa; Chordata; Lepidosauria; Squamata; Lacertidae.